RNAcentral lists this ribosomal RNA (253 nucleotides) under uncultured bacterium. RNAcentral describes it as "partial 16S ribosomal RNA". It matches the Rfam family "Bacterial small subunit ribosomal RNA", at positions 524 to 776 of the family's 1533-position model. The record is from RNAcentral.
UACGUAGGACGCAAGCGUUAUCCGGAGUUACUGGGCGUAAAGCGUGCGCAGGCGGUUCUCCAAGUCCGUUGUGAAAGCCCCGGGCUCAACCUGGGAAUGGCAGUGGAAACUAGGGGACUUGAAUCUGGCAGAGGGGGGUGGAAUUCCACGUGUAGCAGUGAAAUGCGUAGAGAUGUGGAGGAACACCGAUGGCGAAGGCAGCCCCCUGGGCUGAGAUUGACGCUCAGGCACGAAAGCGUGGGGAGCAAACAGG